UACGGAGGGUGCAAGCGUUAUCCGGAUUCACUGGGUUUAAAGGGUGCGUAGGCGGGCAGGUAAGUCCGUGGUGAAAUCUCUGAGCUUAACUCAGAAACUGCCAUGGAUACUAUUUGUCUUGAAUAUUGUGGAGGUCAGCGGAAUAUGUCAUGUAGCGGUGAAAUGCUUAGAGAUGACAUAGAACACCAAUUGCGAAGGCAGCUGGCUACGCAUAUAUUGACACUGAGGCUCGAAAGCGUGGGGAUCAAACAGG
RNAcentral lists this ribosomal RNA (253 nucleotides) under uncultured bacterium. Its description in RNAcentral is "partial 16S ribosomal RNA". It matches the Rfam family "Bacterial small subunit ribosomal RNA", at positions 524 to 776 of the family's 1533-position model. The record is from RNAcentral.